RNAcentral lists this ribosomal RNA (483 nucleotides) under uncultured bacterium. RNAcentral describes it as "partial 16S ribosomal RNA". It matches the Rfam family "Bacterial small subunit ribosomal RNA", at positions 28 to 507 of the family's 1533-position model. The record is from RNAcentral.
GACGAACGCUGGCGGCGUGCUUAACACAUGCAAGUCGAACGCUGAAGCUCAGCUUUUGUUGGGUGGAUGAGUGGCGAACGGGUGAGUAACACGUGAGUAACCUGCCUCCUUCUUUGGGAUAACGCCCGGAAACGGGUGCUAAUACUGGAUAUUCACUGGUCUUCGCAUGGGGGUUGGUGGAAAGGGUUUUUCUGGUGGGGGAUGGGCUCGCGGCCUAUCAGCUUGUUGGUGGGGUGAUGGCCUACCAAGGCUUUGACGGGUAGCCGGCCUGAGAGGGUGACCGGGCACAUUGGGACUGAGAUACGGCCCAGACUCGUACGGGAGGCAGAAGUGGGGAAUAUUGGCCAAUGGGCGAAAGACUGAUGCAGCGACGCCGCGUGAGGGAUGGAGGCCGUCGGGUUGUGAACCUCUUUCGCUCAUGGUCAAGCCGCAACAAUGGUUGUGGUGAGGGUAGUGGGUAAAGAAGCGCCGGCUAACUACGUG